RNAcentral lists this ribosomal RNA (442 nucleotides) under uncultured prokaryote. Its description in RNAcentral is "bacterial SSU rRNA". It matches the Rfam family "Bacterial small subunit ribosomal RNA", at positions 355 to 796 of the family's 1533-position model. The record is from RNAcentral.
UAAGGAAUAUUGCGCAAUGGGCGAAAGCCUGACGCAGCCACGCCGCGUGAAGGAAGACACCCCUAUGGGGCGUAAACUUCUUUUAUAUGGGAAGAAGAUCCUGGUCGCCAGGAUUUGACGGUACCAUAUGAAUAAGCACCGGCUAACUCCGUGCCAGCAGCCGCGGUAAUACGGAGGGUGCAAGCGUUGUCCGGAUUCACUGGGUGUAAAGGGUGUGUAGGCGGAAUUGCAAGUCAGAGGUGAAAUCCUGCGGCUUAACCGUAGAAUUGCCUUUGAUACUGCUUUUCUUGAGUACCGGAGAGGCUACUAGAAUUCGUGGUGUAGCGGUGAAAUGCGUAGAUAUCACGAGGAAUACCAGAGGCGUAGGCGGGUAGCUGGACGGAUACUGACGCUGAGGCACGAAAGCGUGGGGAGCAAACAGGAUUAGAUACCCCUGUAGUCC